AACCUGGUUGAUCUUGCCAGUAGUCAUAUGCUUGUCUUAAAGAUUAAGCCAUGCAAGUGAAAGUACACAUGUAUAAUAAUAUAUCGAAACUGCGAACGGCUCAUUAAAACAGUUAUAAUCUACUUGACAUUUAUAUUAUAAGGAUAACUACGGAAAAGCUGUAGCUAAUACUUGUAAAAAUAUCUUAUGAUAUGUAUAUAUAUAUGUAUGUAUCAUUAAGAUAUGUAUUUGUUAGAUGUAAGAAGUAAAUAAAAUAAAUAUAAAUUGAAUUAUAACAAAGAAAGAACACGUAUACGUACGUGAUUAUCAAUCGAGUAUCUGACCUAUCAGCUUUUGAUGUUAGGGUAUUGACCUAACAUGGCUAUGACGGGUAACGGGGAAUUAGAGUUCGAUUCCGGAGAGGGAGCCUGAGAAAUAGCUACCACAUCUAAGGAAGGCAGCAGGCGCGUAAAUUACCCAAUUCUGAAGAAGAGAGGUAGUGACAAGAAAUAACAAUACAUUAUCGAAGAAUGAUUUUGUAAUUGGAAUGAUAGGGAAUUAUAACAUUUCUAGAGAAACAAUUGGAGGGCAAGUCUGGUGCCAGCAGCCGCGGUAAUUCCAGCUCCAAUAGCAUAUAUUAAAAUUGUUGCAGUUAAAACGUUCGUAGUUGAAUAUUAAAGAAUCCGAUGUUUCAUUUAAACUGGUUUUGGGGAACUACAUAUAUAUAUAUUUAUAUAUAUUGUUUAAUAAGUUUCCCGUAUAAAAUUAUGUUUUUAUCAGAUAUGACAGAGUCUUUUUUAAAAUCUGUUCAUUUUGCUUUUAUUGCUUUUUGAGAGAUUUUGUUACUUUGAGUAAAAUUAAGUGUUCAUAACAGACGGCUAUACUUUGAUUGAGGUGUUCAGGGUGUUUGAAUACUACAGCAUGGAAUAACAAAUAUGAAUAAGCUAAUUUAAUUUUUUAUUAUUUUUUUUUGAUAUUCUUAUUAGCUUAGUUACGGUUAAUAGGAGUAGUUUUGGGGGCAUUCGUAUUCAGAUGUCAGAGGUGAAAUUCUAAGAUUUUCUGGAGACGAACUACUGCGAAAGCAUUUGCCUAAUCUAUUUCCAUUAAUCAAGAACGAAAGUUAAGGGAGUGAAGACGAUCAGAUACCGUCGUAAUCUUAACCAUAAACUAUACCGACUAGGUGUUGGAUGAAUAUAAAAAAUAUAUAUAAAAUUUUGAUAUUUCUUAGAGAUUAUUGAUUUUAUAUAUUAGAUUGCUUCCUUCAGUACCUUAUGAGAAAUCAAAGUCUUUGGGUUCUGGGGCGAGUAUUCGCGCAAGCGAGAAAGUUAAAAGAAUUGACGGAAGGGCACCACCAGGCGUGGAGCUUGCGGCUUAAUUUGACUCAACACGGGAAAACUCACUAGUUUAAGACAAGAGUAGGAUUGACAGAUUAAUAGCUCUUUCUUGAUUUCUUGGAUGGUGAUGCAUGGCCGUUUUUAGUUCGUGAAUAUGAUUUGUCUGGUUAAUUCCGAUAACGAACGAGAUCUUAACCUGCUAAUUAGCGGCAAGUACACCAUAUUUUUAUUUGAAAUUGAUUUUAGGUAAAAUUAAUAAUAAUUAUUUUAUGUGUACAAAUUAGGAUAUUUUUAUUAAAAUAUCCUUUUCCCUGUUCUACUAAUAUUUUAUUUUUUUUUACUCUAUUUCUUUUUUCUUUUAAGAAUGUACUUGUUUGAUUGAAAAAGCUUCUUAGAGGAACAUUGUGUAUCUAACACAAGGAAGUUUAAGGCAACAACAGGUCUGUGAUGUCCUUAGAUAAACUAGGCUGCACGCGUGCUACAAUGAUAUAUAUAACAAGUUGUUAAAAAUAUACAUAUAUAUAUUUGUAUCUUGUGAUACUUAGUAAAUAAUUUUGUAUAUUUUUUCCUUUACUGAAAAGUAUAGGUAAUCCAAUCAAUAUAUAUCGUAACUGGGAUAGAUUAUUGCAAUUAUUAAUCUUGAACGAGGAAUGCCUAGUAAGCAUGAUUCAUUAGAUUGUGCUGACUACGUCCCUGCCCUUUGUACACACCGCCCGUCGCUCCUACCGAUUGAAAGAUAUGAUGAAUUGUUUGGAUAUGAAUUAAAACAUGGAAUUUUAUAUUUCUGAUUUUUUCUAGAAGAACUGUAAAUCCUGUCUUUUAAAGGAAGGAGAAGU
Molecule: ribosomal RNA, 2149 nt
Filed under: Plasmodium gaboni
Lineage: Eukaryota; Apicomplexa; Aconoidasida; Haemosporida; Plasmodiidae
Description: SSU rRNA
Rfam family: Eukaryotic small subunit ribosomal RNA
Source: RNAcentral